AGAGUUUGAUCAUGGCUCAGGACGAACGCUGGCGGCGUGCUUAACACAUGCAAGUCGAACGGUAAGGCCCUUCGGGGUACACGAGUGGCGAACGGGUGAGUAACACGUGGGUGAUCUGCCCUGCACUUCGGGAUAAGCUUGGGAAACUGGGGUCUAAUACCGGGAUAGGACCACGGUCUGCAUGGAUUGUGGUGGAAAGCUUUUGCGGUGUGGGAUGGGCCCGCGGCCUAUCAGCUUGUUGGUGGGGUGAUGGCCUACCAAGGCGACGACGGGGUAGCCGGCCUGAGAGGGUGUCCGGCCACACUGGGACUGAGAUACGGCCCAGACUCCUACGGGAGGCAGCAGUGGGGAAUAUUGCACAAUGGGCGCAAGCCUGAUGCAGCGACGCCGCGUGGGGGAUGACGGCCUUCGGGUUGUAAACCUCUUUCAGCAUCGACGAAGCGCAAGUGACGGUAGAUGCAGAAGAAGCACCGGCCAACUACGUG
RNAcentral lists this ribosomal RNA (485 nucleotides) under uncultured bacterium. RNAcentral describes it as "bacterial SSU rRNA". It matches the Rfam family "Bacterial small subunit ribosomal RNA", at positions 8 to 507 of the family's 1533-position model. The record is from RNAcentral.